GGCUCAAAUUUGAAGUACGGUAGAUCAGCAGGAUCAGCUGACUAUACUUAUCUACUCUACUUCAAGUUUGCGCCU
Haemonchus contortus (barber pole worm) is the source of this 75-nucleotide non-coding RNA. Lineage: Eukaryota; Metazoa; Nematoda; Chromadorea; Rhabditida; Trichostrongylidae. The record is from Rfam.